RNAcentral lists this ribosomal RNA (229 nucleotides) under uncultured Streptococcaceae bacterium. RNAcentral describes it as "partial 16S ribosomal RNA". It matches the Rfam family "Bacterial small subunit ribosomal RNA", at positions 111 to 334 of the family's 1533-position model. Lineage: Bacteria; Bacillati; Bacillota; Bacilli; Lactobacillales; Streptococcaceae. The record is from RNAcentral.
UAACGCGUAGGUAACCUACCUCAUAGCGGGGGAGUAACUAUUGGAAACGAUAGCUAAUACCGCAUAAUAGAGACUAACGCAUGUUAGUAAUUUAAAAGGGGCAAUUGCUCCACUAUUAGAUGGACCUGCGUUGUAUUAGCUAGUUGGUGAGGUAAAGGCUCACCAAGGCGACGAUACAUAGCCUACCUGAGAGGGUGAUCGGCCACACUGUGACUGAGACACGGCCCAG